CUACCAUGCAGUCGAGCGGUAGAGAGGUGCUUGCACCUCUUGAGAGCGGCGGACGGGUGAGUAAAGCCUAGGAACCUGCCUGGUAGUGGGGGAUAACGCUCGGAAACGGACGCUAAUACCGCAUACGUCCUACGGGAGAAAGCAGGGGACCUUCGGGCCUUGCGCUAUCAGAUGAGCCUAGGUCGGAUUAGCUAGUUGGUGAGGUAAUGGCUCACCAAGGCGACGAUCCGUAACUGGUCUGAGAGGAUGAUCAGUCACACUGGAACUGAGACACGGUCCAGACUCCUACGGGAGGCAGCAGUGGGGAAUAUUGGACAAUGGGCGAAAGCCUGAUCCAGCCAUGCCGCGUGUGUGAAGAAGGUCUUCGGAUUGUAAAGCACUUUAAGUUGGGAGGAAGGGCAUUAACCUAAUACGUUAGUGUUUUGACGUUACCGACAGAAUAAGCACCGGCUAACUCUGUGCCAGCAGCCGCGGUAAUACAGAGGGUGCAAGCGUUAAUCGGAAUUACUGGGCGUAAAGCGCGCGUAGGUGGUUCGUUAAGUUGGAUGUGAAAUCCCCGGGCUCAACCUGGGAACUGCAUUCAAAACUGUCGAGCUAGAGUAUGGUAGAGGGUGGUGGAAUUUCCUGUGUAGCGGUGAAAUGCGUAGAUAUAGGAAGGAACACCAGUGGCGAAGGCGACCACCUGGACUGAUACUGACACUGAGGUGCGAAAGCGUGGGGAGCAAACAGGAUUAGAUACCCUGGUAGUCCACGCCGUANACGAUGUCAACUAGCCGUUGGGAGCCUUGAGCUCUUAGUGGCGCAGCUAACGCAUUAAGUUG
This 821-nucleotide ribosomal RNA is filed under the name uncultured bacterium. RNAcentral describes it as "bacterial SSU rRNA". It matches the Rfam family "Bacterial small subunit ribosomal RNA", at positions 49 to 867 of the family's 1533-position model. The record is from RNAcentral.